AUGCCGUAAACGAUGAUCAUUAGUUGAUGGGAGACUCAUCGACGCAGCUAACGCAUUAAAUGAUCCGCCUGAGUAGUAUGCUCGCAAGAGUAAAACUUAAAGGAAUUGACGGGGACCCGCACAAGCGGUGGAGCAUGUGGUUUAAUUUGAAGAUACGCGUAGAACCUUACCCACUCUUGACAUCUUCUGCAAAGCUAUAGAGAUAUAGUAGAGGUUAACAGAAUGACAGAUGGUGCAUGGCUGUCGUCAG
Molecule: ribosomal RNA, 250 nt
Filed under: uncultured bacterium
Lineage: Bacteria
Description: partial 16S ribosomal RNA
Rfam family: Bacterial small subunit ribosomal RNA
Source: RNAcentral